Camellia sinensis is the source of this 4685-nucleotide non-coding RNA. The record is from RefSeq and is a predicted model, not a curated record. Lineage: Eukaryota; Viridiplantae; Streptophyta; Magnoliopsida; Ericales; Theaceae.
CUUUUAGUUAAGGACCAAGAUUUUGAUUUGUUUCCUAUUUAAACUAUUUCUCUGCAAUGUUUCAAGCCAACUAUGUACUCCUCAAUCAUUGUUCAAUACACCAAAAAAUAAGAGGAAGAGAUCACCUCAACCAUCAGUCAAUUCCUUCACUGCUGAAAACGAUUGUCCUUAUCCGGUAAACUUUUGCACGUUGAAUCUCAUAUUAAAUAUUCGUAAUGGCCAAUAUAGUGAUGUUUAGCAGUUGUGGAUUUUGCUAAUAAUGGCUCACUAAUUUUUUUUCAUGGACAUUAGACUGCCACAGAUAUAUUCCCUUUUCUUAUGCAUAUACUUAAUCUCACUUACUGCCAAACACAAUGCUAUGUUUUUAUUAACUGCACCAGAUUUUUUAAACUUAUGUUGUUCACAUACUACAAUUCAAUUACUCAUUAAGUCAGUGGUAUGUAGACUGGUCAACACCUACAACUUUGCUGUGCUAUUAAUUUCUUAUUUUUUUAAUUGUGUUGCAAAUGGUUUAAGGUGUAUAAUUGAAUUGAACUUGCUAACUUUCCAACUUACUAUAAACGUUAAUUUGUUGCACUUGUAUUAGGCUAGAAUGGCUAACGAUAUUGACGACUUUAAGAUGUGGGGGUUUGAAAAUGUGAAGAUAUUUUUAGAAAUAUUGUUGGAUGAAAUUUAGAAAGAGGGUCCUCGGAUGUCAAAGAAAGAUAGAAGUUUUUACCCAAAGCAGUGGCAAACAAUUGAUGAGGAGAUGACUAAAAAGGUUGGAAAAAAUUUUGGGCUAAAAAAAUUGAAGGGUAAGUUCGCGCGUUUGAAGGCAAACUACAAAGAGUUUGUUUCUCUAAAAGCCCACACGGGUUUGGGCUAGGAUCCAAUAACUCAAACAGUGAUAGCCCCAAAUGAUGUUUGGGAAAAUUAUGUUUAGGUAAUUAUUUUGGCGCAUACAUUUACCAGAACCAUGUGUAUAGAGAAAUAUUUUUUUAAAUGAUUAAUUAAUGUUUACAACUUGUAGGCACACCCAAAUACAAAACAAUUCCAAACCAAAGGCCUUGAACAUUAUGAGCUCAUGUCAGAAAUAUUUGCCAAGUCAUUUGCCACUGGCGCUUUUGCCCAUUCUUCUCAUCAGGGUGCACCCACAUCUGAUGACGAGCGAGAAAUGAAUGAACGCUUUCAUGCAUAUACGACGGGGAAAGGCGUAGUAGAUGAAUCUUGCACUUCCGGAAGUAAGCGUAAGUCUAGUGGCCAGGGCCAGUCCAGUAAGAACCCAAGAAUGGAUGAUACACUGCAAUCAUGGCAACGUUCAUGUGACGCACGUGAAUGGUUUUACCUUCGAGCAGAGGCAAACGCUAGGACAGCUGAUGCGUACUCUGUCGCAGCAUGUAUGGCCAUCCUAAAAUCGAUGGCCCCGGAUCCAAGCUUGUUUUUGAAGGCCAUGAACAUGUUCACAUCACUAGAAUGGCAAACCAUGUUUAUGACCAUGGAACCGGAAAUGAGGUACCUUUGGAUCCUCAGUUUGUGAGAAGCUUGGUCAUCCCACUAUUUGGUUUGAGGUGAAGGAAAUGAAGAUGCUUGCAGAAUUGUUUAGGUUUAUGUUUUUUUGUUUCUGUUAAACUUGAAGUUCUAAAUUUUUUUUGUUUUAAUUUUUUUGUUUUUCCUUUUCGGUUUGGACUAUGUUGGGUGUUGAGCUAAUUUGAUAUUUCAUGCUUUCUAUGUGGUUUCACUUUAGACUUAGCACCAUGUUGUCGUAAUUUAUUUUCAUCAUGCUUUCUUUGUUGCAAUGUCCUCAUUAAAUUUUUAGUGCUAUACUCAUAUCAUUACUGAUAAUACCAUGAUUGUUUUACACUUUCCGCUUUAGAUGUCGUCGUCACGACCCAAUGGAGGGCAACCGAACAAUAUGUACGACCCGUACAGUGACGACGAUGAUGAUGUGAUGGACUUACACAUGAUUUGUCAACUAACACGUGACAUUCCUACGAGACGACCGCAACAUAAUUGUCCAUACACCGGUGAUCUAUACAUAAAUUCUUACUAAGUGGAAAUCCUAAAUCAAUCCGUAACCAAUUGCGAAUGGAGGUCCCAACAUUUGUGGAAUUGGUUAAACAAAUUGUCCGUAGAAAUGUUGUAGGCUAAUCGAACAUGCGAUUGUCACUGGAAGAGUCGUUGGCUAUGUUUUUAUUUAUCUGUGGUCAAAGUUCAGGCACAAGAAAUGCUGGAGAUCGAUUUCAGCACUCAAAUGAGACAAUUCAUCAUCAUUUCGUACUUAUGAUGCGAGCGUUGGGAAAUCUUGCGCCAUUUGUAAUCCAACCACCGAACAUGGCUGUUACCCAUCCUAAAAUUCGAAAUGACAGACGGUACUAGCCAUGGUUUAAGGACUAUGUAGGGGCCAUAGAUGGCACACAUAUUGUUGUUGUGGCACCAGAAGGUGACCAAAUGCCAUAUCGAGGUAGAAAAGUGCAUACAACUCAAAAUGUCAUGGCUGCAUGUUCAUUUUGACAUGAAGUUUACGUUUGUAUACGCUGAUUGGGAAGGUAGUGCACAUGAUUUGAGAUUUUUUCUAGAAACACUUACCACAAAUUCUGCUGACUUUCCACACCCACCACCUAACAAGUAUUAUCUCGUUGAUACCGGGUAUACACACAUGCCCGGGUACGUAGCCCCACAUCGUGGCCAAAAAUACCAUUUGUAGGAGUUCAAUAGGCGGCGUCGCUAUCAUGGUCCAAAGGAGUUAUUCAACCAUAGACAUUCCUCUUUGAGGAAUGUUAUAGAAAGAACCUUUGGAGUGUUGAAACAACGGUUUCCAUUAUUCAGACACAUGCCACGGUAUGAUAUGGUACGGUAAGGGCCAAUCGUUAUGGCAUGUUGUGUUCUGCACAAUUGGAUCUGGACGGUGCAAGAGCAGGAUGAAUUUUUCAAUGCAGAAGAAUCAAGUGACGAAGAUGAAGACGAAGAUGAAGAUGAAGGUGAAGGUAGAGGUGAAGGUGCAAGUGAAGUUCAGGGUGAAGUUGGAGUUCAAAAUGUCCACGAACAUGAAGAUGGAGUACUAGUUAUGCAACAACACAACCAUGUGAACAUGUCACGUGAACAACUACUGCAGAUGGGACAAUGGCAAGAUGAGGUUGCAGCAUAUAUGUGGGAAGCAUACAAUAAUAGAUGAAGGUGACACCAAAUUGUUCAUGUGGCGCUAGUCCAAUGUUGGUGAUUAUGGCUCGCACCGAAGCAAACAAUGGUCGUUAUUUUUUUCGUUGUCCUAAUUGGGAUAAUCAUAGGGGCUCCUUCCUCUGGGUAGAUGACUAUGAUGGUGGCAUACAGCAUUUUACACCUACGCAAGUGCCUCGUACUGGCGGGAAGUGGUUGUUUUGGGUUUGUUGUGGAUGCAAUGCUUUUCUUUGUUUUUCUAUUAUCAUCCUUUUGUUGGUACUUUGUUUGUCAUUGUACUUAAGUAGGAUAUUCCAAACUGUGGUUGAAACAAUGCUUGAACUUGUUGUUUAGUUAUGGUAGCUCAACCAUUGGUAGUAAUUAUGUUGUACUAUUUUGGUUUUUAUUAUUUUCAAACAGAUUGUGGUAAUUGUUUUAUGUCAGAAGUGUUGAUGUACGGUUUGUUAAAUGUUUCUUGUGCAUGUAUGGUUCGUGUAUCGGUACUAUAGUUACAUGUUUUUUAAUGUCCGUUUGGUCAUGUAUGGUUUUUUGGAACCAUGGGGUACUUUUUUUUUAAAACUAUGGGCUAGUUGUUUUACUAUUAUGAUCCUUUUUUUUUUAAACCAUGGGUUCUUGUGGUUUUUCGUUUUUUCCUUCAGCGGGUACACUAAUGUAGUAGUUAAUGACUUAGUUUAAAAUGUAGUGCAACAAUUUGCACUCAUAUGGUUAAAGCUAAAACAUCGUUGGGUCGUAGCUAAAACUAUUUUAAUUCGUGUAGAUUAAGAAAGUGUAGAAUAGAAUGUGUUGCAUGUUUGUUUUUUGUUGCUGUGUUCGUUGGUGAUAAACUUGAUCUACAAGAAUUGCCAAAAUUGGAGAAAAUUAGGGGCAAAUUUCCAUCUGUACCAAAACCCAUUAUCAUGGGAUGCCCAAAUUGCAGAUAGUCAACAGUGGUUUGAAUAUCAAGGUCUCCUCCUGUUGGGUAUCAGAGGAAUUCGACAUGGGAUGAUAAAUUAGGAGAUUGGACACGUAAAUGAAUAGAAGACAAAUUCAGGUUAUUUAUUGUUUAAUUUUACUUUAUUGGCAUAAUUAUUUUCUUUUUUGCACUUAUUACCUUGUUGGUGCUUUUUAGUUCAUCCGGAACAAUAAGCUGAUCAUUUUUUCACCUAAAUCAACAAUGAGCUGAACUUCUUGUAAUCUGUCACUGAGAAAAUUGUCAAAAAACUGCUACUUGUAAAGAACAAUCAAAAGUUGUUUCCUCUUUAUCUACAUUUUUGAUCUCAUCUAAUUGGCAUGAUUGUCACAGGACUAUGGAGUAUUGGCUAAAAUUCCUCAAAACAAAUUCGAGAUCCAAACACAGUUUAAGAGUUGCAUAACUCUAUGCUUUCUCUGGUGGAUUACAAAGUGGUGGUGCUUGGUGUAUUUGUCCUAGACGGAGUUGAUCUUAACAGCUUUCUAACCCUGCUCGGUGUCAGGCUCAUGCGACUAAGCUCAGCAUCACUUAAUGCAACUCAAUCUCAUUUGUAGAUAUUUAUUUGUGUCGUUUGUAUGAAUUG